UACGUAGGGUGCGAGCGUUGUCCGGAAUUACUGGGCGUAAAGAGCUCGUAGGUGGUUUGUCGCGUUGUUCGUGAAAACCGGGGGCUUAACCCUCGGCGUGCGGGCGAUACGGGCAGACUUGAGUACUGCAGGGGAGACUGGAAUUCCUGGUGUAGCGGUGGAAUGCGCAGAUAUCAGGAGGAACACCGGUGGCGAAGGCAGCUCGCUGGAACGGUACUGACGCUGAGGCGCGAAAGCGUGGGGAGCGAACAGG
Molecule: ribosomal RNA, 253 nt
Filed under: uncultured bacterium
Lineage: Bacteria
Description: partial 16S ribosomal RNA
Rfam family: Bacterial small subunit ribosomal RNA
Source: RNAcentral